RNAcentral lists this ribosomal RNA (372 nucleotides) under uncultured organism. Its description in RNAcentral is "bacterial SSU rRNA". It matches the Rfam family "Bacterial small subunit ribosomal RNA", at positions 526 to 896 of the family's 1533-position model. The record is from RNAcentral.
CGGGGGGGGCAAGCGUUGUUCGGAAUUACUGGGCGUAAAGGGCUCGUAGGUGGCCAACUAAGUCAGACGUGAAAUCCCUCGGCUUAACCGGGGAACUGCGUCUGAUACUGGGUGGCUUGAGUAUGGGAGAGGGAUGCGGAAUUCCAGGUGUAGCGGUGAAAUGCGUAGAUAUCUGGAGGAACACCGGUGGCGAAGGCGGCAUCCUGGACCAUUACUGACGCUGAGGAGCGAAAGCCAGGGGAGCAAACGGGAUUAGAUACCCCGGUAGUCCUGGCCCUAAACGAUGAAUGCUUGGUGUGGCGGGUAUCGAUCCCUGCCGUGCCGAAGCUAACGCAUUAAGCAUUCCGCCUGGGGAGUACGGUCGCAAGGCUG